GCCAGACUCCUACGGGAGGCAGCAGUGGGGAAUAUUGCACAAUGGGGGAAACCCUGAUGCAGCGACGCCGCGUGAGUGAAGAAGUAUUUCGGUAUGUAAAGCUCUAUCAGCAGGGAAGAAAAUGACGGUACCUGACCAAGAAGCCCCGGCUAACUACGUGCCAGCAGCCGCGGUAAUACGUAGGGGGCAAGCGUUAUCCGGAUUUACUGGGUGUAAAGGGAGCGUAGACGGUGAUGCAAGUCAGAAGUGAAAGCCCGGGGCUCAACUCCGGGACUGCUUUUGAAACUGUGUAACUGGAGUGCAGGAGAGGUAAGCGGAAUUCCUGGUGUAGCGGUGAAAUGCGUAGAUAUCAGGAGGAACACCAGUGGCGAAGGCGGCUUACUGGACUGUAACUGACGUUGAGGCUCGAAAGCGUGGGGAGCAAACAGGAUUAGAUACCCCAGUAC
RNAcentral lists this ribosomal RNA (446 nucleotides) under uncultured bacterium. RNAcentral's name for it is "bacterial SSU rRNA". It matches the Rfam family "Bacterial small subunit ribosomal RNA", at positions 330 to 793 of the family's 1533-position model. The record is from RNAcentral.